GCCAGCGUGGCAUAGUGGUUUGAGUGCUGGACUGCGACUCUGGAGAGCAAAGUUCGAUUCCCAGCUCAGCUA
RNAcentral lists this transfer RNA (72 nucleotides) under Phrynosoma platyrhinos (Desert horned lizard). Its description in RNAcentral is "tRNA-OTHER". The record is from RNAcentral. Lineage: Eukaryota; Metazoa; Chordata; Lepidosauria; Squamata; Phrynosomatidae.